CGUCAGUUUUUUAAAAGGCCGACGCAUUUGGGUGAAGUAUUUACGUCAGUUUUUUAAAACAUCCGACGCAAUUGGCUAAAAAAAAUCAGCUCAGCAGAUUCUUAUCUUAUCCUUUAGCAUUUUCCUACGUUAGGGAUAUUUCCAUAGCUACUCUCUCACUACGUACUACUCUCUCACUACUCUCAUUGUCACUAAACCCAUACUAUUCCUAAGCUUUUUCCAUCCAUGUCGAGCAAUUUCCGGCAAAAAAAACCCAGAUUUCGAGCAAUUUCCGACAAAAAAAAACCCAGAUUUCGAGCAAGUUCAAGCUCUUUCCAUCCAUUUCAAGCAAUUUUCCAGCAAAAAACCCCAGAUUUCGAGCAAUUUCCGGCAAAAAACCCAGAUUUCGAGCAAAUUCAGGCUCUUUCCAUCCAUUUCAAGCAAAUUCGAAACACAAAACCCAGAUUUCGAGCAAGUUCAAGCUCUUUCCAUCCAUUUCAAGCAAAUUCGAAACACAAAACCCAGAUUUCGAGUUUUAAAAACCUAAAAAUUUUGAACAUUCGAGCUUUAAAAACCCAGAAAAUUUGAAACCCACAAAACCGAAACCCAGAAAUUUCGAGUUUUCGAGCAGAUUUAGAGAAGAUUCGAGCUGUUUUUCAAGUUUCCAGCAAAUUACAUUAUAUUUUCGAGCAUAUUCGAGCGGUUUUUGAAGAUAACAUUAUUUUUUCGAGCAGAUGCUGAGGAUGCUACCUGAGCUCCUGUUGUUACCUGCUGAUGCAUAUCUUCUGUUCUGCCUGCUCGCUGGUGCUGCAUCUGCUGAGCUGAAGACCUGCUGCCACCUGCUGACCUCUGCUCGUGCCUGCUGUUUUUGUUGCUGUUUUGGUGCUGCUGGCUCCCCUGCUUGAUCUUUUUUGCUCGUUGCUUGCUGCCUGCUGUGCUGCUGCGGCCCUCUGUUUAUGCUGCUGCUGCCCUCUGCUUGUGCUGCUGCUGCCAUUUGCUCUGCCUGCUGCUUUGUUGUGCUCCUGCUGCAUGGUCUUUGAUGACUAGCUGUUUUGCUUUUGGUGCUGCCCCUUUGUUCUUUUACUUGCUUUACUUGGUCAUGCUGCACAAAGAACACUACUUCAUCAACAACAAUAGAGCUUGCUGUACUUGUAAACAAGUCAGCACCAUGAAGCCUGAUGUACCUAUAAAAAAAACAAAAAUUUGUUAAUGAACAUUCUUUUUCAAUAAAAAUAAAAUCUAUUUUUUAAAAGUUACAUUUCUGAAAAUAGAAUGUUCAUUCAUUAGUUCAUCUGUUGAUUAUUAAAUCUAUUUGUUCAUUUUUUUAGCUGUGAAAGAGAAUCAACUAUUUGUUCAUUUUUUUUUUUUUGCGUCGGACAUUAACAAAAAUCCGACGCAAAUCGGCCUUUUUUCCAAUUUUUUUGUUUUUUUGUUUUUUUUUUUUUAUUUUUGGUUAUUUGCGUCGGUGUUCAAGUAAACUCCGACGCAAAUGACCCUUAUUUGCGUCGAACAAUUUGUUCGAUGCAAAUAAGUUUUUCUCAUUUGCGUCUCCGCCGGUUGCGUCGGCUGGAAGUUCGACGCAAAUGAGCAUUUCUCUACUAGUGAUU
Molecule: long non-coding RNA, 1586 nt
Organism: Chenopodium quinoa (quinoa)
Lineage: Eukaryota; Viridiplantae; Streptophyta; Magnoliopsida; Caryophyllales; Amaranthaceae
Exons: 3
Source: RefSeq, a predicted model, not a curated record